Long non-coding RNA from Sinocyclocheilus grahami, 323 nucleotides. RefSeq lists it as uncharacterized. Lineage: Eukaryota; Metazoa; Chordata; Actinopteri; Cypriniformes; Cyprinidae. The transcript is spliced from 4 exons. The record is from RefSeq and is a predicted model, not a curated record.
CACUAGUUGCUUAACUGUCUGUUACUUUGUUUUACUUAAUUGUUUUGCAGUAUGUGGGCUGUUGGACCAUGGAGUUGUGCUGUAGUGCUUACUCAGAUUUUGAUCAUACUGGAGCAGAAUGGAUAACCUUAAAUUCAUCAGACUUUGUUUCAUAAGUCAUCCACACUCUAAAACGGGAGGAAUUUUGUAGUUCUGGAGGACCAGAGGACUUCACACGCUGAAUGGCCACAUGUGAAGGCAUUUGAGAGAUUUGUUCCUCCGAUGGCUCUGCACUGUCAACCCCACGUGGAGAAGUGGGUGACGUACAUAAUGGUCCCUCUAAG